This 390-nucleotide ribosomal RNA is filed under the name uncultured Methanosaeta sp. RNAcentral's name for it is "bacterial SSU rRNA". It matches the Rfam family "Archaeal small subunit ribosomal RNA", at positions 949 to 1338 of the family's 1478-position model. Lineage: Archaea; Methanobacteriati; Methanobacteriota; Methanomicrobia; Methanotrichales; Methanotrichaceae. The record is from RNAcentral.
GAAGGUCAGGCUGAAGACCUUACCCGAUUAGCUGAGAGGUGGUGCAUGGCCGUCGUCAGUUCGUACUGUGAAGCAUCCUGUUAAGUCAGGCAACGAGCGAGACCCACGUCCACAGUUGCCAGCAUGCCCUCCGGGGUGAUGGGUACACUGUGGAGACCGCCGCUGCUAAAGCGGAGGAAGGAGUGGGCAACGGUAGGUCAGUAUGCCCCGAAUCUCCCGGGCUACACGCGGGCUACAAUGGUUGGUACAAUGGGCAUCUACCCCGAAAGGGGAAGGAAAUCUCUUAAAGCCAAUCGUAGUUCGGAUUGAGGGCUGCAACUCGCCCUCAUGAAGCUGGAAUCCGUAGUAAUCGCGUUUCAACAGAACGCGGUGAAUACGUCCCUGCUCCUU